Molecule: long non-coding RNA, 6089 nt
Filed under: Brassica rapa (field mustard)
Lineage: Eukaryota; Viridiplantae; Streptophyta; Magnoliopsida; Brassicales; Brassicaceae
Description: long non-coding RNA (BRAP_LNC008945)
Source: RNAcentral
GUUGAACUGAAGAGAAGAUGGAGCUUGUACAAUAAUAGGGCAAGCUCUAGAAGAUGUCCAGAAGAGUUCAAUCAAGCUUCAGAAGUUAUUAGAAGCUGAUGCAAAGAAGAGACAAGAUCUAAGAAGUGUCUUGAAGGUGUAUACAAGACAUUGGAGGAGUUUGGGAGAUUAUGGUUGAUGGUGCAAAGAUAGGGAUCGGCCUGUACGGACGGACGUACGGAUGGUACGGACCGUACGGACAUGAUCAACCCAAAACUUAUCAGGUAGACCAUUUGAGCACAUUUGAGGAAUGUGCAAUCUUAGGGCACAAGGUGUACGGUCAUGACAUCCGUACAGCCAAGUCUGAUCAUGUCUUGGGAGACAAGGCAAGGAGAAGGGCGUGUGAGACUAUCCAAGGGAGAAAGAUCCAUUUGGCAUAUUCAAAGAUGCCUUAGGAAGCAACCAGGAAGGUGCCUUUCUCUCCAGCUCACACAGACCAAUCACAGCCAAGUAUUCAGUCCACAAGACAGCUCAUGACAGCCUGUAAAGGCCAGACUCGCCAAAGACUCCCAUUGGCCAAGCAUGUGAUGAUUCUGGUCCAUAGAAUUCAAAUGGGCGCUCCCCUUUAUGCUGACUUCACAUGCUUAGGUUAUCUGAUGAAUUCAGCCUCCAUUUAUGUAUUUAAGCUUCUUGUAAACAAUUGGAAACAUUAAGUGAGUAAGGGGGUUUCCCUUCUCCUUCUCUAAUCUUCAGUCUCUUAUUCUCUCAGUUUCUCUCUAGUCUCUUAAGUCUCUCAAUCUCUGUUCUUAAGUCUCACAUACUCAUAAACACUCUCACUAAUCCUUUCCUAUAUAUCACCUAGAACAAGCUCUAAUCAUUCUUCAUUGAAGCUUAUACACACACACAUACUACCAGAGUAGAGAUCUCUUUAAAAAUCAUAUGGUAUCAGAGCCAGGUUCAUCAGAACCUGAGCUGUAGCUUCCGCACAACACAAGCUCUACCCUCAGCUCAAAUCCAACCCUUGAAGACAUUCCCAUCCGAGUUCAGUUUCUCCAUGAGAAGAAGACUGAAGGGCGUGUCUCUUAUCCUUUCUCAUGUCUAUCCUGAUGGAGAGACUCAUUGGAAGCAGAAGUGUAUGGAGAGGACUCACGAACCUCAUCCAAGGCGCCUCCUCCAAGAGCUUUCUUCACCCGGUUCAUCAUGAAAGCUGUCAAGAUGAUGGCGCCUAGAAGACUUGAAGAAAGGAGGAGUCUUUGAGUUGGAGAAACAAGAAGGUGGCCAUGAACUGAAGGAGUAGGAGGUGGGUGACUAUCCAGACUCUCAGAUUCAACAAAAGCCAUGGCCAGUCCCCUUGGAGUUUUAAGGAACCAACCUGGUUCCUUGUGUAAGCGAUUUUAAAACCCUCUUGAUAAUGAGCUUGUGUUGUUGACUGGUUGUAUUGUGUGAUGUGCUUGAAAACCUGAGGACUGUUAAAGAUUGAUAAAUUAAAAUGUUUAGAAUCUGUCCCAGGAUACUUUAAGAGCUUUGUUUGGUGACUAAAUGUGAUUAAUAUGCUUAGCUUCGUUUCAUAGUGAUGCUUAGAGUGAUUAACUGAAUCUGCUUGCAUACAUGGAUUGAAACUGAAUUUAAAGCUGUUGCAUAUAGUCUUGUGGCUGUCUUACAUUGAAGCAUUAGAUUCAUGUCUAAAAUGCUGAGUAAAGAAGCUUUUAAAAGUGCCUAAGUAACUUGUCUUGAAUCUGUUAGGAUCUUGCUUGUUCUUAGAGAGCUAGCUUGCAAAGAAUAGAACUUGAUAAUGCCUUGUGUCUAUCUGUUGCACUGCUUGUGAGAUUGGGAAUCAAACCUGAUGAUUAAUCAAGGAUUGAUCCCAAUACUCUUGUGUCUUAUCCUUGCUGGAGUUUGAGUGGUGUUUCAGGUUCACAAGAAGUGUUCUCUGCUCACCACCUAUCCAAGACAAGAGGAAGACUUGAACCAUUGUGUGGAGCAAUGGGAAGAUACUUGUGUGUAGAAGCUGGUUUAAGAAGCGCAGACCACAAGGUUGUUGAGCUCCUGGUUCAAGACAUACAAGCGGAAGACCAACCAUUGUGUGGAGCAAUGGGAAGGUUCUUGUAUGUAGAAGCCGGUUUAAGAAGCGCAGGCCACGAGGUUGUUGAGCUCCUGGUUCAAGGCACACAAGAAGAAGAAGGUCACCACCUAUGCCAUGAGGAAGGCCGGUGAUCUGAGGGUACUUGAAGCUUAAAGCAAAAGGAUGGAUCAGUGAUUUAAGCGCAGCUGUUAGGGUGAUGUGCUCCUGGUCUUGAAGUUCAUUGAGGCUCAUUUCAAGCUUGGAUCUCCCCUAUUCUCGGUCUCAAGCUUGCAGUGCUAGUAUUCAAAUGAGCAACCUGAAGAGCUAAAGUUCAAGACCUGUUUCCUCUUUAUCAUUACAAUAGAAUGAUAAAAUGAAGCCUGUUGCCAACAUUCUGUGGGAAGUCCACAGCCUGCUCCAAAGAGGGUAGAGAGGAUGUUGUGACAAUGGAGAGAUGACGUGUUAUUCUGUCCAUGGUGGUUUAGUCACCAUAGCCUACACAUCAGAUGAGUGUAGAGAGGACAGUCGACAUAUAAAGAAGAGCAUCACCAGGAAGUAGAGGCAAUUUAAACCAAGACCAGUGCAAGCCCAUUGCAAGCUGAUCAUGGAGUGAUCCAGCCGAAGUAGAGGGAAGAAGAAAGCUACUCAAUAAGCUUCUGGUGUGAGAUGCUUGGAGAGUGAGCAUUGCAAGAGGGAUGGGCACACCAAGGAAAGGUGUUGAAUACUGAAUCCAAGCAUCAAACCUGCCAAGUUUAAGUGAACCGUGCCCAUGGAGGUUCAAGAGAUCAGCUCGGAUCUCUUGUUUGUAAGCAAACCUCUUAACCCUUAAUAAGAACUUGUGUCUUUAUUUAUUGUGCUGUGAGUGGUGUCUAGAGUCCCAGAAUCUCAUGUUUUGUUUAUUGCAUUGUCUUGAGUGUUGUCAUAGCUUGAAUCAUCAUGAAUGUGUUGUAGAAUUGAGUAGAAUGUCUCUGCUGCUUGCAUCAUGAUUGAUAAGUUCUUUUGCAUACAUAAGCAUAUCUCAUACUGUCUAAGUUGCUUGCAUCAUUGGUUCUGAUUGAAACUGUUGUGCAUAGCUUUAAUAUAAAUCAUGGAUUGAACCUGUUGCAUUCAUAUAGCUAAUGCUUUAAGAUUGUGCAUUCAUGUAGUAAUGCAUUUGAAAAUGAGUCUAAAUUGCAAAUGUACUGAUGAAAGCUUGCAUUGAAUUUAGAGAACUUAAUAAUCAUAAUAACCUAGGAUGUCAAUAUAGUGUCUAGAACUUGCAUAGUCAUUGUUAGAGAUAGAAAUCUACUUGUCUUGACUUAGGCUGUUCUGAUUGUUGCUAUGCCAUAGUUAAAUCCAUCAGUGAUGUCUUACAAGCAUUUAGAAGUAUGUCUAAGCUACUUGAAUCAUUGGCUGUGAUAGAACUAGUGAGCAUAAGCAUGAAUUGAGUCAAACUUAUUGCCUUGAUUGCAUAAGUAUCAUCUAGUCUUGUGUUCAUUUGAAGUGAAUCUGUUUCAUUCAUAGUUAGUGUGUAACCUAAUGCAUUCAUCUAUUGUUGCAUUUUAAAAAAAAAAAAAAAAAAAAAAAAAACAAAACAAACUGAAUUGAACCUAAAAAGAUCAGUGUAUCUUUGCAAAGCAUACAUUGUCUUUACCUAUUCUUGUCUUGAUUGUCUAGCUUGUUUCAAGUAUCAUAUAUUAUUGUGGCAUUGGUGAUCAAACAGGAUGGAUGAUCUUGGUUUGAUCCCAAUGGGAUGAUCUGAUCUUGCAUUGAGUUGUGGUGGUGUUAGGUACACAAGGGAAGUGAUACAUGUAACUCGCCAUCAACCAAGAAUGUAGAGACAAAGGUCUUGUGCCAUUGCAUAUCAUCACUUGGACAUGUUAGUCCAUAAUCUACAGGAAGUGUAGUGUGAUUGAUUAUGCAAUGAGAGCUGGCCAUUGCAUAAUACCAUUGGACAUAUCUAGUCCUUAGUCUACAGGAAGUGUAGCAUGGGUCAUUAUGCAAUGAGAGAUGUGUCUUGUGAGACUCUCUAUGGUGAUUCAAACACCCUAAUUCCUGGUUAAGGAAGAGAGAAAACUCACAAGAAGAAAGCUAUCAUAAAAGAUGAUAGUUAUUAGACCAUGGAGAUGCAUAGGAUCAUCACAAGCUUAGCUCCUUCUAGUCUCGGUUCUAAGCUUGAGGGGGAGUCUUAAUGCAUAUGAUCCAUGGUCAGUAACAAGUCUUUGCAAAGGCUUCUACAAGGAUCAUCAACCGGACCAAGUCAGUGGCGUGUCUAGGCAAGAGGCUGUUCAGAGCAGCCUUGGCGAGUGAGGAAGAAGGCUCUCCAUCAAUGCGGCUUCAAUGAGAGGUGAUUGAGGAGAAGCUGAUGAAUCCAUUCUGCCUUUCCAAGGAGUUGAUGAUGCCAUGAAGAUGGUGCAUUGAGAGAGUUUGGAAACUCACAAAAACACAAGGGAAGUUCCCUUAGACUUUUAAAACUCUUUUCAAUCUUUUUCAUUCAUCUUACUCAUUGCUUGUGCUUGAAAAGAUACUUAAGAUGAUUAUGAUUGAAUUGUGAGAUUGUGUGCAUCAAGUGUGAUGCAGGAUAUUCAUUUUCUUGUUUUUUGAUAGGUACUGAUGCACCUUUGGGAUAAUGUAUCAGGUACCAUUGCUUGAGCCUCACUAAAGAUGUUCCUGGUCAGUUCCUAGCUUCUCUAAGAUGGCUGAGAAGUCUGUUGAGAGGGGGAGAUCCAAACCAGUUCUAUGAAGAGGGCAAGCCGUGUGUGAAGUAUUGAUCAGCCUCACUAGUGUUUUGAAGAUGAUCUGGUCGUGUCCUAGCUUCUCUAAGAUGGCUGUGAAGUCAGUUGAGAGGGGGAGACUUCAAACCGGUUCCAUGAAGAGGUGAAGCUGAAGUGUGAAGUGUGAAGUGUGCGCAAAGCUGUGAAGAGUUGCUGCACCUGUUAGGCCGUGAUCCAGAGCUUCUUGUGUCCAACCACACUGGUUCUAAGGCACAAGAGCUCACUGGCCAAUCCCUAGGCUUUGGAGAGCUCUACUCUUUUUCCCUUGCAAGGUUUUGUCCCAAUGGGUUUUCCUUGUAAGGUUUUUAAUGAGGGAGACUCUUCAGAGUUCCAAGCUUGGCUUAGGAUCUCCUAAAGUCAAGCUUGAGGGGGAGUGUUGAACUGAAGAGAAGAUGGAGCUUGUACAAUAAUAGGGCAAGCUCUAGAAGAUGUCCAGAAGAGUUCAAUCAAGCUUCAGAAGUUAUUAGAAGCUGAUGCAAAGAAGAGACAAGAUCUAAGAAGUGUCUUGAAGGUGUAUACAAGACAUUGGAGGAGUUUGGGAGAUUAUGGUUGAUGGUGCAAAGAUAGGGAUCGGCCUGUACGGACGGACGUACGGAUGGUACGGACCGUACGGACAUGAUCAACCCAAAACUUAUCAGGUAGACCAUUUGAGCACAUUUGAGGAAUGUGCAAUCUUAGGGCACAAGGUGUACGGUCAUGACAUCCGUACAGCCAAGUCUGAUCAUGUCUUGGGAGACAAGGCAAGGAGAAGGGCGUGUGAGACUAUCCAAGGGAGAAAGAUCCAUUUGGCAUAUUCAAAGAUGCCUUAGGAAGCAACCAGGAAGGUGCCUUUCUCUCCAGCUCACACAGACCAAUCACAGCCAAGUAUUCAGUCCACAAGACAGCUCAUGACAGCCUGUAAAGGCCAGACUCGCCAAAGACUCCCAUUGGCCAAGCAUGUGAUGAUUCUGGUCCAUAGAAUUCAAAUGGGCGCUCCCCUUUAUGCUGACUUCACAUGCUUAGGUUAUCUGAUGAAUUCAGCCUCCAUUUAUGUAUUUAAGCUUCUUGUAAACAAUUGGAAACAUUAAGUGAGUAAGGGGGUUUCCCUUCUCCUUCUCUAAUCUUCAGUCUCUUAUUCUCUCAGUUUCUCUCUAGUCUCUUAAGUCUCUCAAUCUCUGUUCUUAAGUCUCACAUACUCAUAAACACUCUCACUAAUCCUUUCCUAUAUAUCACCUAGAACAAGCUCUAAUCAUUCUUCAUUGAAGCUUAUACACACACACAUACUACCAGAGUAGAGAUCUCUUUAAAAAUCAUAC